Molecule: ribosomal RNA, 460 nt
Filed under: uncultured bacterium
Lineage: Bacteria
Description: partial 16S ribosomal RNA
Rfam family: Bacterial small subunit ribosomal RNA
Source: RNAcentral
CCUACGGGAGGCAGCAGUGAGGAAUAUUGGUCAAUGGACGAGAGUCUGAACCAGCCAAGUAGCGUGAAGGAUGACUGCCCUAUGGGUUGUAAACUUCUUUUAUAUGGGAAUAAAAUGCUCCACGUGUGGGAUUUUGUAUGUACCAUAUGAAUAAGGAUCGGCUAAAUCCGUGCCAGCAGCCGCGGUAAUACGGAGGAUCGGAGCGUUUUCCGGAUUUAUUGGGGUUAACGGGAGCGUAGGUGGAAUGGUAAGUCCGUUGUGAAAGUUUGCGGCUCAACCGUAAGAUUGCAGUUGAAACUGGCAGUCUUGAGUACAGGAGAGGUGUGCGGAAUGCGUGGUGUAGCGGUGAAAUGCUUAGAUAUCACGAAGAACUCCGAUUGCGAAGGCAGCUCACUGGACUGCAACUGACACUGAGGCUCGAAAGUGUGGGUAUCAAACAGGAUUAGAUACCCGGGUAGUC